AGGGUUUGAUCAUGGCUCAGAUUGAACGCUGGCGGCAUGCCUUACACAUGCAAGUCGAACGGCAGCACGGGGGCAACCCUGGUGGCGAGUGGCGAACGGGUGAGUAAUACAUCGGAACGUGUCCUGUAGUGGGGGAUAGCCCGGCGAAAGCCGGAUUAAUACCGCAUACGCUCUGCGGAGGAAAGCGGGGGCUCCUUCGGGACCUCGCGCUACAGGGGCGGCCGAUGGCAGAUUAGCUAGUUGGUGGGGUAAAGGCCUACCAAGGCGACGAUCUGUAGCUGGUCUGAGAGGACGACCAGCCACACUGGGACUGAGACACGGCCCAGACUCCUACGGGAGGCAGCAGUGGGGAAUUUUGGACAAUGGGCGCAAGCCUGAUCCAGCAAUGCCGCGUGUGUGAAGAAGGCCUUCGGGUUGUAAAGCACUUUUGUCCGGAAAGAAAACCUCAGCCCUAAUACGGCGGGGGGAUGACGGUACCGGAAGAAUAAGCACCGGCUAACUACGUGUCAGCAGCCGCGGUAAUACGUAGGGUGCAAGCGUUAAUCGGAAUUACUGGGCGUAGAGCGUGCGCAGGCGGUCCGCUAAGACAGAUGUGAAAUCCCCGGGCUUAACCUGGGAACUGCAUUUGUGACUGGCGGGCUAGAGUAUGGCAGAGGGGGGUAGAAUUCCACGUGUAGCAGUGAAAUGCGUAGAGAUGUGGAGGAAUACCGAUGGCGAAGGCAGCCCCCUGGGCCAAUACUGACGCUCAUGCACGAAAGCGUGGGGAGCAAACAGGAUUAGAUACCCUGGUAGUCCACGCCCUAAACGAUGUCAACUAGUUGUCGGGCCUUCAUUGGCUUGGUAACGUAGCUAACGCGUGAAGUUGACCGCCUGGGGAGUACGGUCGCAAGAUUAAACUCAAAGGAAUUGACGGGGACCCGCACAAGCGGUGGAUGAUGUGGAUUAAUU
Molecule: ribosomal RNA, 948 nt
Filed under: uncultured Burkholderia sp.
Lineage: Bacteria; Pseudomonadati; Pseudomonadota; Betaproteobacteria; Burkholderiales; Burkholderiaceae
Description: bacterial SSU rRNA
Rfam family: Bacterial small subunit ribosomal RNA
Source: RNAcentral